GAUGAACGCUGGCGGCGUGCCUAAUACAUGCAAGUCGAGCGAAGCGGGGACGGGUGAGUAACACGUGGAUAACCUCCUUUCAGAGGGGGAUAACACUUGGAAACAGGUGCUAAACCGGAUAAUUCUAGCUGGAUCCGCGCUGCAUUAGCUAGUUGGUAAGGUAACGGCUUACCAAGGGAACGAUGCAUAGCCGACCUUAGAGGGUGAUCGGCCACACUGGAACUGAGACACGGUCCAGACUCCUACGGGAGGCAGCAGGAGGGAAUCUUCCGCAAUGGGCGAAAGCCUGACUGAGCAACGCCGCGUGAGUGAUGAAGGUCUUCGGAUCGUAAAGCUCUGUUAUUAGGGAAGCGGUACCUAAUCAGAAAGCCACGGCUAACUACGUGCCAGCAGCCGCGGUAAUUC
RNAcentral lists this ribosomal RNA (405 nucleotides) under uncultured bacterium. RNAcentral describes it as "partial 16S ribosomal RNA". It matches the Rfam family "Bacterial small subunit ribosomal RNA", at positions 28 to 526 of the family's 1533-position model. The record is from RNAcentral.